CAAGCAAGCCAAGGACCAUAUGUUUUUUGUGUUACACUUUCAGCAUCUAAGCUUAUUAUAUUCAACACAAGGAGAAAGUCCCCGGAAAACAAAAUAUCUUCUGUCCAAUGAUUAAAGAUUAGGGCAGUGGGGUAUUUAGUAAAGCAACUUUGUUUGUUUGUUUUUCAUAAUAAAAGUAAUAUGGUCACCCUAUAAUAAUGGGGCAACUUAAUGGGGCUUACUCUGGCUUGUUG
This 233-nucleotide RNase MRP RNA is filed under the name Puccinia triticina 1-1 BBBD Race 1. RNAcentral describes it as "RNase MRP". It matches the Rfam family "RNase MRP". Rfam says of the family: RNase MRP is an enzymatically active ribonucleoprotein with two distinct roles in eukaryotes. In mitochondria it plays a direct role in the initiation of mitochondrial DNA replication. Lineage: Eukaryota; Fungi; Basidiomycota; Pucciniomycetes; Pucciniales; Pucciniaceae. The record is from Rfam by way of RNAcentral.